This is a long non-coding RNA of Carassius auratus (goldfish), 431 nucleotides long. RefSeq lists it as uncharacterized. NCBI's taxonomy places the organism in Eukaryota, Metazoa, Chordata, Actinopteri, Cypriniformes, Cyprinidae. The transcript has 3 exons. The record is from RefSeq and is a predicted model, not a curated record.
UUAAUGUUAGGUUGCGCGCGCGCUGGAGGCCGUCGACUGCUGCUGUAAUUCGGGUAGAGUGGGAAGGAAAAUAUUGUUUAAAAUCGACUUUUAACUACUCGCGAAGAAUCCGUUUCGCUCGGAUUUUACGCUACUCCUUCCUUACAGAGAAAGCGGCUCGCUGAAAGGGCAGAACGGGAAAGAGAGUCGGUUAGCGGCCCAUGCAGCCAUAACGAGCCCGCGAUACACCAUCAGACUGCUGGAGAAGGUAACUCCUCGCCCCCCCAUUCCUCUUCUGUUUGCUAAGCUCCUCUGUCCCCUGCCCCUCAUAAUCCGCCCAGAGACCCUCUUCCUAAAGACCAGUUAGGAACGUUGGGUCUGUUCCUCCCCAUUUUCCCAGCCUCCAUCUGUCUCUCUAACUCCACCUGCCCAGUAGGGGGCUGACCGCUUAU